This 74-nucleotide transfer RNA is filed under the name Loxodonta africana (African savanna elephant). It matches the Rfam family "tRNA". Rfam says of the family: Transfer RNA (tRNA) molecules are approximately 80 nucleotides in length. Their secondary structure includes four short double-helical elements and three loops (D, anti-codon, and T loops). Further hydrogen bonds mediate the characteristic L-shaped molecular structure. tRNAs have two regions of fundamental functional importance: the anti-codon, which is responsible for specific mRNA codon recognition, and the 3' end, to which the tRNAs corresponding amino acid is attached (by aminoacyl-tRNA synthetases). tRNAs cope with the degeneracy of the genetic code in two manners: having more than one tRNA (with a specific anti-codon) for a particular amino acid; and 'wobble' base-pairing, i.e. permitting non-standard base-pairing at the 3rd anti-codon position. Lineage: Eukaryota; Metazoa; Chordata; Mammalia; Proboscidea; Elephantidae. The record is from Rfam by way of RNAcentral.
CCCUGGGUGGUAUAAACGGUCAAUGCACCUGGCUGCUAACCAAAAGUUUGGUGGUUCGAGUCCACUCAGAGGCA